CAUCAUGACUCGCACUCUUAAGGAAUGUGUAGACGGGUCUGUUCACACCCUGGAUUCCUAAACUUUUGUUGACCAAGCAACACACAACAGUCUUGAUGUGAAAUCAGAUUAAGUUUCUCAAGAAGCGUUAAAGGAAUAGAGAUUCAUUUGCCAACCUCAUAUGGAGGGAAAUGAGGGAUGAUUUUAACUCAGUUCGAACUGAGGAAGCCACUGAUGUGGUAGAAGGCGGAGAAACGCAUUUUCGAGGUGACUGAGCCAGGUUGUAUCACCUCAAUGAAUUUCUAUUCAAAACCAGCUUACAUCCACGGCACAAUUAUCAGUGUAUCUGCAAUUGCGGCUAACCACCAGCAGAGGGAGCCUGAGCACUGUGAAUGCCUGUGAAAGAUCUUCAACUCCAGAUAGUCUGCAACAAACAGAUAAGAACCAGCAGAGGGAGUGGAAUUACGGAUCAUCAUAAAAUAAG
This is a long non-coding RNA of Pseudophryne corroboree (corroboree frog), 463 nucleotides long. RefSeq lists it as uncharacterized. The transcript has 3 exons. The record is from RefSeq and is a predicted model, not a curated record. NCBI's taxonomy places the organism in Eukaryota, Metazoa, Chordata, Amphibia, Anura, Myobatrachidae.